UAGGGAAUCUUCCACAAUGGACGCAAGUCUGAUGGAGCAACGCCGCGUGAGUGAAGAAGGUUUUCGGAUCGUAAAGCUCUGUUGUUGGUGAAGAAGGAUAGAGGCAGUAACUGGUCUUUAUUUGACGGUAAUCAACCAGAAAGUCACGGCUAACUACGUGCCAGCAGCCGCGGUAAUACGUAGGUGGCAAGCGUUGUCCGGAUUUAUUGGGCGUAAAGCGAGCGCAGGCGGAAUGAUAAGUCUGAUGUGAAAGCCCACGGCUCAACCGUGGAACUGCAUCGGAAACUGUCAUUCUUGAGUGCAGAAGAGGAGAGUGGAAUUCCAUGUGUAGCGGUGGAAUGCGUAGAUAUAUGGAAGAACACCAGUGGCGAAGGCGGCUCUCUGGUCUGCAACUGACGCUGAGGCGUGAAAGCAUGGGUAGCGAACAGG
RNAcentral lists this ribosomal RNA (429 nucleotides) under bacterium. Its description in RNAcentral is "partial 16S ribosomal RNA". It matches the Rfam family "Bacterial small subunit ribosomal RNA", at positions 355 to 776 of the family's 1533-position model. The record is from RNAcentral.